CCUACGGGGGGCAGCAGUGGGGAAUAUUGCGCAAUGGGCGCAAGCCUGAUGCAGCCAUGCCGCGUGUGUGAAGAAGGCCUUCGGGUUGUAAAGCACUUUCAGCGGGGAGGAAGGCGUUAAGGUUAAUAACCUUGGCGAUUGACGUUACCCGCAGAAGAAGCACCGGCUAACUCCGUGCCAGCAGCCGCGGUAAUACGGAGGGUGCAAGCGUUAAUCGGAAUUACUGGGCGUAAAGCGCACGCAGGCGGUCUGUCAAGUCGGAUGUGAAAUCCCCGGGCUCAACCUGGGAACUGCAUUCGAAACUGGCAGGCUAGAGUCUUGUAGAGGGGGGUAGAAUUCCAGGUGUAGCGGUGAAAUGCGUAGAGAUCUGGAGGAAUACCGGUGGCGAAGGCGGCCCCCUGGACAAAGACUGACGCUCAGGUGCGAAAGCGUGGGGAGCAAACAGGAGUAGAUACCCGAGUAGUC
This 465-nucleotide ribosomal RNA is filed under the name uncultured Klebsiella sp. RNAcentral describes it as "bacterial SSU rRNA". It matches the Rfam family "Bacterial small subunit ribosomal RNA", at positions 338 to 795 of the family's 1533-position model. Lineage: Bacteria; Pseudomonadati; Pseudomonadota; Gammaproteobacteria; Enterobacterales; Enterobacteriaceae. The record is from RNAcentral.